UACGUAGGGUGCAAGCGUUGUCCGGAAUUAUUGGGCGUAAAGAGCUCGUAGGCGGUCUGUCGCGUCGGAUGUGAAAACCCAGGGCUCAACCCUGGGCCUGCAUUCGAUACGGGCAGACUAGAGUUCGGUAGGGGAGACUGGAAUUCCUGGUGUAGCGGUGAAAUGCGCAGAUAUCAGGAGGAACACCGGUGGCGAAGGCGGGUCUCUGGGCCGAAACUGACGCUGAGGAGCGAAGGCUAGGGGAGCAAACAGG
Molecule: ribosomal RNA, 253 nt
Filed under: uncultured bacterium
Lineage: Bacteria
Description: partial 16S ribosomal RNA
Rfam family: Bacterial small subunit ribosomal RNA
Source: RNAcentral